This 567-nucleotide ribosomal RNA is filed under the name uncultured Nocardioides sp. RNAcentral describes it as "bacterial SSU rRNA". It matches the Rfam family "Bacterial small subunit ribosomal RNA", at positions 117 to 700 of the family's 1533-position model. Lineage: Bacteria; Bacillati; Actinomycetota; Actinomycetes; Propionibacteriales; Nocardioidaceae. The record is from RNAcentral.
GUGAGUAAUCUGCCCUGGCUUUGGGAUAGCCACCGGAAACGGUGAUUAAUACCGGAUAUGACCGCUUCACGCAUGUGUUGUGGUGGAAAGUUUUUCGGCCAGGGAUGUGCUCGCGGCCUAUCAGCUUGAUGGUGAGGUAAUGGCUCACCAUGGCUUCGACGGGUAGCCGGCCUGAGAGGGUGACCGGUCACACUGGGACUGAGACACGGCCCAGACUCCUACGGGAGGCAGCAGUGGGGAAUAUUGGACAAUGGGCGGAAGCCUGAUCCAGCAACGCCGCGUGAGGGAUGACGGCCUUCGGGUUGUAAACCUCUUUCGGUGGGGACGAAGCGCAAGUGACGGUACCCACUAAAGAAGCACCGGCCAACUACGUGCCAGCAGCCGCGGUAAUACGUAGGGUGCGAGCGUUGUCCGGAAUUAUUGGGCGUAAAGGGCUCGUAGGCGGUUUGUCGCGUCGGGAGUGAAAACGCCGUGCUUAACACGGCGCUUGCUUUCGAUACGGGCAGACUAGAGGUAUUCAGGGGAGAACGGAAUUCCUGGUGUAGCGGUGAAAUGCGCAGAUAUCAG